RNAcentral lists this ribosomal RNA (474 nucleotides) under uncultured soil bacterium. Its description in RNAcentral is "bacterial SSU rRNA". It matches the Rfam family "Bacterial small subunit ribosomal RNA", at positions 26 to 518 of the family's 1533-position model. The record is from RNAcentral.
AGGACGAACGCUGGCGGCGUGCUUAACACAUGCAAGUCGAGCGGUAAGGCCUUUCGGGGUACACGAGCGGCGAACGGGUGAGUAACACGUGGGUGAUCUGCCCUGCACUUCAGGAUAAGCCUGGGAAACUGGGUCUAAUACCGGAUAUGACCUGCUCUCGCAUGGGGGUGGGUGGAAAGAUUUAUCGGUGCAGGAUGGGCCCGCGGCCUAUCAGCUUGUUGGUGGGGUAAUGGCCUACCAAGGCGACGACGGGUAGCCGACCUGAGAGGGUGACCGGCCACACUGGGACUGAGACACGGCCCAGACUCCUACGGGAGGCAGCAGUGGGGAAUAUUGCACAAUGGGCGAAAGCCUGAUGCAGCGACGCCGCGUGAGGGAUGAAGGCCUUCGGGUUGUAAACCUCUUUCAGCAGGACGAAGCGCAAGUGACGGUACCUGCAGAAGAAGCACCGGCUAACUACGUGCCAGCAGCCGC